This 301-nucleotide ribosomal RNA is filed under the name uncultured bacterium. RNAcentral describes it as "partial 16S ribosomal RNA". It matches the Rfam family "Bacterial small subunit ribosomal RNA", at positions 509 to 807 of the family's 1533-position model. The record is from RNAcentral.
CAGUAGCCGCGGGAAUACAGAGGAUGCAAGCGUUAUCCGGAAUGAUUGGGCGUAAAGCGUCUGUAGGUGGCUUUUCAAGUCCGCCGUCAAAUCCCAGGGCUCAACCCUGGACAGGCGGUGGAAACUACCAAGCUGGAGUACGGUAGGGGCAGAGGGAAUUUCCGGUGGAGCGGCGAAAUGCGUUGGGAUCGGAAAGAACACCAACGGCGAAAGCACACUGCUGGGCCGACACUGACACUGAGAGACGAAAGCUAGGGGAGCAAAUGGGAUUAGAUACCCGGGUAGUCCCUGUCUCUUAUAC